This 327-nucleotide ribosomal RNA is filed under the name uncultured eukaryote. RNAcentral's name for it is "partial 18S ribosomal RNA". It matches the Rfam family "Eukaryotic small subunit ribosomal RNA", at positions 1470 to 1796 of the family's 1831-position model. The record is from RNAcentral.
CCCUUAGAUGUUCUGGGCCGCACGCGCGUUACAAUGAAUCGUUCAACAGGUUUCUUCCUGAGUCGAAAGGCUUGGGUAAUCCUUUAAAUACGGUUCGUGCUAGGGAUAGAUUUUUGCAAUUAUUAAUCUUGAACGAGGAAUAUUUAGUAAACGCAGGUCAUCAGCCUGCAUUGAUUACGUCCCUGCCCUUUGUACACACCGCCCGUCGCACCUACCGAUUGGAUGGUCCGGUGAAGCCUCGGGAUUGUGGUUCUUGCCGCUUUAUUGUGGCGUGACCGCGAGAACUUGUCUAAACCUUAUCAUCUAGAGGAAGGUGAAGUCGUAACA